AUCUACGGCCAUACCACCCUGAAUGCGCCCGAUCUCGUCUGAUCUUGGAAACUAAGCAGGGUCAGGCCUGGUUAGUACUUGGAUGGGAGAAAUCCCCUUACAUUUAUGACUCCGGUGGUUGGUUU
Ribosomal RNA from Cricetulus griseus (Chinese hamster), 125 nucleotides. NCBI's taxonomy places the organism in Eukaryota, Metazoa, Chordata, Mammalia, Rodentia, Cricetidae. The record is from Ensembl.